GGCACCUGUCGGCAGUCAGCUGAGCACAGACUCACCUGAGGAGCAGCAGAUGGAGUCCGGGCAGCUUUCAGCUGCAGAAGAACGCAGGAAUGAAUUGGAGGAAGGGGGCGUGGCCUGUUCCGUGAUAGUGUGUGACAUCAAACCAAAAGUUCCAGGUGUGAAGGAUAGAAAGAACGACCCCUGGUCAUGUGACAGCUCUGCAUCUUCCUCCGACAGUGAGGACGAUGAUAAAAACAAGAAGAAGAAGAAGAAAAAGCUGAAGAAGAAAAGAAGCAAGAAGUUCAGCUCAUCUUCCUCAUCAUCAUCAUCAUCAUCAUCAUCAUCAUCUUCCUCCUCUUCAUCCUCAGAAAGUGACAGCAGUGAGGAUGAAAAGAAGAAAAAAAAGAAAAUGAAAAUCAGCGAAACGGCAGAGCUGGGGAUUCUAGCAGAAACAGGUCUGGAGGGAAAUACUGAAUUAACUCCUGCAGGAGAAACUAAAGGAGACGAGGAGAAGAAAAAGAAGAAAGACAAAGAUGCAGCUGCAAUCAGUUCAGACAGCGAGAAUGAAAAGAAGAAGAAAAAGAAGAAGAAGAAGAAGAAAAAUAAAAAGAAGCAGAAGAAGGAUAAGAAAAAGAAGAAGAAGAUGAAGAAGGUAUGA
Molecule: long non-coding RNA, 637 nt
Filed under: Sinocyclocheilus anshuiensis
Lineage: Eukaryota; Metazoa; Chordata; Actinopteri; Cypriniformes; Cyprinidae
Description: lncRNA (ENSSANG00000045070.1)
Source: RNAcentral